UGUGCUGCCAUGUUGUUUUGUUGUUUAUUUUUUACUUUGGUGGAGUUCAAUAACUUGAUCCACCCAGUGAUCAGAUGCCUUGGCAUUUCAAAGGAAUUUCCGUAACUUUUAAGCCCGCCUUUUGUUACCUCCGCUGUACUUCUCGUGCACGGCCAGAACUGUUUGAUUAAAAUGCAGCAACUCCUAAAAAUUCAGAAAUGGAGGCUGAUUACUGCAGCAGUCAGCAUGGCCUCGGUACUGCCCCGUCAAGUUGAUUUGCUUACGGGAUGGUUUAGGAUUUAGGAUUAAAAAUAAGGUUUUACUUUUUAAAACCACUUGUUGGGGUUUCAUAAGUUUUUCUUCCUUAAGGCGGCCAAGAUUCUGGGAGCCUAAAAGCAACCGCUCACAGGGACGCAGGCGUUCUGGUUCACUCCCUCCCUGCCAUCUGUCACCUUCUGCAGCUUACGGAGCCCUGUUACAGAAUUGUUACCUGCAGUUCUAUGAUUUUGAUCAACUUUUUGAAAGCCAUUCUGUGCUUUGGAUUCGUGUGAAAGGAUGUGUGAUCACGGCAUUGUUCAUGCUGGCUACAAGCUACUUAUCUCCAUGCAAUUUUGCCUUGUAACAGUGGAAUUUCUGAUAGGCGAACCACAGAACCUUGAUUUUAAGCCAGCUCCAGCUCCAUUGCCUUGGCAGGCGAUCUUCUAUCCCCAUAGUUUAGCCUUCAUGGGCUGAGGGUAUGAAGUUCCUCCUCCAGGGCUGGAAAUGGAGCAGAGCUCUGUUAUCAUUUCUUUAUGACCCAAAGGCCAAUGAAACAACUCCAGGAUUUUUUUUUUUUUUAGAAGAACGUAAACAUUACUAGAGUAGUAAAACAAAAGAAGGUUCAGUGUUUCUUUUCAGUAAAACUUAUAUCAUCUUAAGUUUUUGCCCUCACGAAAAAGCCCUAGAGGAAGAUAGGAAAAAGCAAAUAUUUUUCCAGUUCUACUUAACUGUUUCUAAACAAAAAUAAACUUGAUGAAAGGGAAAUUAUUUCUUUUUAG
Molecule: long non-coding RNA, 1016 nt
Filed under: Ursus maritimus (polar bear)
Lineage: Eukaryota; Metazoa; Chordata; Mammalia; Carnivora; Ursidae
Description: lncRNA (ENSUMAG00000016505.1)
Source: RNAcentral